UUGUCAGCAGAUAGUGUUGCCAUGUAAAGUGGCUGUUUUGCAGUUGCUCGUUGGUCUACGGGCUUGAUUCUCGCAUAAGGUGCGAGAGGUCCCGUUUUCAAAGCCUGGACGAACCAUUGCAGAAGUCCCGGGUCCAAAUGAAGCAAAAGCCCUUCUUCAAUGUUUGUAAGAUAAGGACUUCUGACCAUCUGUUGCUUCUGAUGUCUUGUGAAAUAAUCAAGCUUUUGUGGCUCGUUGGUCUAGGGGUAUGAUUCUCGCUUAGGGUGCGAGAGGUCCCGGGUUCACAUCCCGGACGAGCCCUUGCAUUUAUUCUUUUGUUUUACAGGGCUUUAUGGCUUUCAUAAAAAACGUUUUUCGAAGAAUUCCAGUUUGUCAGCAGAUAGCGUCGGCACAUAAAACAUUCCUUUGCAUAGUGGUUUGGUUGUCUAGGAGUAUGCUUUUCGUUCAUGCCGUGAGAAAUCCCAGAUUCAAAUUUCGGUUUAGCCCUUACAGUUGUCUGCUGUUUUGUAAGGGCAUUGUGGCUUACACAGAGGCCUUUUUUCUGAGAAUGCCAGUUCGUCAGCAGAUAGUGUUGCCAUAUAAAGUUAUUGUUUUGCAGUGGCUCGUUGGUCUAGGGGUAUGAUUCUCGCUUCGGGUGUGAGAGGUCCCGGGUUCAAAUCCCGGACGAGCCCUUGCAGGUGUCAUGUGUUUUACAGGGCACUAUGUCUUUCAUUAAAAUGUCUUUCGAAGAAUUCCAGUUUGUCAGCAGAUAGUGUCGCCACAUAAAACAUUCCUUUGCAUAGUGGC
RNAcentral lists this transfer RNA (786 nucleotides) under Danio rerio (zebrafish). RNAcentral describes it as "lncRNA si:dkeyp-104f11.4 (ENSDARG00000096745.2)". The stretch from base 600 to 671 matches the Rfam family "tRNA". Lineage: Eukaryota; Metazoa; Chordata; Actinopteri; Cypriniformes; Danionidae. The record is from RNAcentral.